GAAUUAAAUUAAAUAAGCUGCUAACUUAUUAUAUAGCUAAGAGUUAUUAAUUCU
Molecule: transfer RNA, 54 nt
Filed under: Brachycybe lecontii
Lineage: Eukaryota; Metazoa; Arthropoda; Diplopoda; Playtdesmida; Andrognathidae
Description: tRNA-Ser
Source: RNAcentral